Molecule: ribosomal RNA, 301 nt
Filed under: uncultured bacterium
Lineage: Bacteria
Description: partial 16S ribosomal RNA
Rfam family: Bacterial small subunit ribosomal RNA
Source: RNAcentral
CAGCAGCCGCGGUAAGACGAACCGUGCGAACGUUAUUCGGAAUCAUUGGGCUUAAAGCGCGUGUAGGCGGAUGGGAACGUCGGUCGCCGAAAUACCCCGGCUCAACCGGGGAACUGGCAUCGAAACGACCCGUCUCGAGGGGCAUAGGGGGAGCUGGAACCUCCGGUGGAGCGAUGAAAUGCGUUGAGAUCGGAAGGAACGCCCGUGGCGAAAGCGAGCUCCUGGAUGUCUUCUGACGCUGAGACGCGAAAGCUAGGGUAGCGAACGGGAUUAGAUACCCCAGUAGUCCCUGUCUCUUAUA